UUUCUGUUGCGAAAAUUGGAUUGUGUGAGGUUUGGAGAAUCUGCGUUUUUGGGUUUGAAGAGGAGGGCCUGGAGCUGAGGUUUCGAUUGAGUCACCCUUGAAGAAGAAAUGGGGUUCGAAUGGUUGAUGGUGUUUUGGUGCAGCCAUGCUAAAUCGACUUCUAGUUUUGGAUAGAAGAAUGGUAAGGGACUGCAUCUUGGAUCUGUUUGGCUAUGUUCUUUGUAGUGGUCGAAAGUGUAUGGUUAUGUUGAGUAAAUAGAAUGAGAUAUGGUUGUACUGGUUUG
This is a long non-coding RNA of Rosa rugosa (rugosa rose), 284 nucleotides long. RefSeq lists it as uncharacterized. NCBI's taxonomy places the organism in Eukaryota, Viridiplantae, Streptophyta, Magnoliopsida, Rosales, Rosaceae. The transcript has 2 exons. The record is from RefSeq and is a predicted model, not a curated record.